UCGUUGUUUGGUACAGAUCCUCGUAAAAAUCCCACUAUAAUCAUUUUAAUUUAAAGCUGUAUUAGUAGUCAAUGGAAAUGAGAAUAACGACACAAACAUGAUCAUUCCUUUCAAUAUCGUGAAUCAUAUUGCAAUAUCAGUCAAAAUAAUCGCAAUUAGAUUGAUUUCUCACAUCGUGAAGCCUUACCUUAGAGCAGACAAAUGCAGUUUCAUCGAUUUCUUUGACUUUUGCUCGAAAGAUCGUAAAAAAAAACCUAUCUUUCAAACUCUUUGAAAGCAGAGUGUCACACUUACUACGGUCCUAUGUACACCUCUUCAACAUUUAGAAAAAACCAAA
Etheostoma cragini (Arkansas darter) is the source of this 337-nucleotide long non-coding RNA. RefSeq lists it as uncharacterized. The transcript is spliced from 3 exons. The record is from RefSeq and is a predicted model, not a curated record. Lineage: Eukaryota; Metazoa; Chordata; Actinopteri; Perciformes; Percidae.